GCCAGACUCCUACGGGAGGCAGCAGUGGGGGAUAUUGCACAAUGGGGGGAACCCUGAUGCAGCGACGCCGCGUGGGUGAAGGAGCGUUUCGGCGCGUAAAGCCCUCUCGGCAGGGAAGAAGGAGGACGGUACCUGACUAAGAAGCCCCGGCUAACUACGUGCCAGCAGCCGCGGUAAUACGUAGGGGGCAAGCGUUAUCCGGAUUUACUGGGUGUAAAGGGGGCGCAGACGGCAGCGCAAGCCAGGAGUGAAAGCCCGGGGCCCAACCCCGGGACUGCUCUUGGAACUGCGCGGCUGGAGUGCAGGAGGGGCAGGCGGAAUUCCUGGUGUAGCGGUGAAAUGCGUAGAUAUCAGGAGGAACACCGGUGGCGAAGGCGGCCUGCUGGACUGCGACUGACGUUGAGGCCCGAAAGCGGGGGGAGCAAACAGGAUUAGAUACCCGCGUAC
This 447-nucleotide ribosomal RNA is filed under the name uncultured bacterium. RNAcentral's name for it is "bacterial SSU rRNA". It matches the Rfam family "Bacterial small subunit ribosomal RNA", at positions 330 to 793 of the family's 1533-position model. The record is from RNAcentral.